CUUGGCCGAUAGCUGCAAUUCUAUUCGUAAAUGCAUAUUUUUGGCAGUGUUUAUCCGAAUUGAACAUUUCCAAUCUUUAAUUAUUUGCAAAUAAUUUGAAUUGAAUAUGGAAGAAGAAGGAGGAACAACUCCAGUGCAGGAUGAACAAGAAUACGACUAUGAAAUGCAGCAGGACGAUGUUGCUAAGAGUGAGGAGGAGAUGGAUGCAGGCUCACAAGAGGAUGAAAGUAGGAUGUCUGCCCAUAGCGGUCCAGAGUCACCCAUGGGUUCACCCCCACACACCCCAGGGCCGGGGUCUCCAGGGGACAGCCCUCCCAUGUCACCCAUAGAGUCACAAGGGCCUGCAUCACCCACUGGUUCACAAGAGGUUGGUUCCCCUGAAAGGUCACAUGAUGAGGGGUCAAGGUCACCGCACCAAAGGUCAAUGAGGUCACCAGGGUCACACGGAAGUCCCCAAUCUGGAAUACGAAGUCCCGAUUCACCUAGGAAUGAAAGCGUCCCAGCCUCUCCCACUUCCAAUGCGGGCAGUAACCCCAGGAGCCCCGACUCUUAUGCCCAGAGCCCACGGGCCUCCCCUGGUGGCCCUGCCUCCCCUGCAGGCUCCUACACAGGAAGUGGCCCCGCAUCCCCAGACCAGCGCAGCCAGUCACCACGCUCCCCCGACAGUCAGGGUCCACGGUCACCAAGCCCAGGUCAAAGGUCAAGGUCACAGUCACCCAGCCAGGAGCACAGUGCACCAGCCUCUCCUGAUGAGCUGGCCAGGUCAAGGUCACCAAGCCCAGGUCAAAGGUCAAGGUCAAACUCACCCAGGCAGCAAAGAAGCAGGUCUGCAUCGCCAUCACAUACAUCUCUAAGGAGUCGUUCUCGAUCUGAGAGUCCUGUUAAUCGUGAUAGGUCAAGAUCAGGUAGUCCAGCACAAAGGUCAAGGUCAGGCAGUCCAGCUCAAAGGUCAAGGUCAGGCAGUCCAGCACAAAGGUCAAGAUCAGGCAGUCCUGUACAAAGGUCAAGGUCAGGCAGUGCAGCUCAAAGGUCAAGGUCAGGCAGUCCAGCACAAAGGUCAAGAUCAGGCAGUCCAGCACAAAGGUCAAGAUCAGGAAGUCCUGUACAAAGGUCAAGGUCAGGCAGUCCAGCACAAAGGUCAAGAUCAGGCAGUCCUGUACAAAGGUCAAGGUCAGGCAGUCCAGUACAAAGGUCAAGGUCCGGAAGUCCAGCAAGUAACAGAAGUGGGUCACAGCCAGGCAGUCCUGCUAGAAGUAGGUCAGGCAGUCCUGCUAGCAAUCGAAGCAGGUCUCGUUCUGCUAGUGUGGGCAGCAACAAAAGGUCGCCCUCUGGUAGUCCAGCUAGACGUAGGUCAGGGUCAGGAAGUCCUGCAAGAAGUAGAUCUAGGUCAGGCAGUCCACAUCGAAGCAGAUCAGGGAGUCCAGCUAGUGGAGGAAACAGGUCACGGUCUGGCAGUGCUGCCAGUGGAAGAGGCCGAUCAAAAAGUGGCUCACGGUCUAGAAGUCGAUCUGGUAGUCCAGCUAGUGGGAGGUCAAGGUCAGGAUCUCCAAGGUCAAGGUCUGGAAGUAGAAGCGGUUCCGGUUCUAGGGGCAGCAGCAGGUCAAGGUCAGUGUCCCCAGCCCCCUACAGCCCCCUGGGCAGCAGGGCAGGAUCUCCCGCACCCAGCGACAAAGAGGCUGGUAGUGACAAGGAAGACCUGGUCGCAGACAUCUUCGGUGCCAGUGACGAGGAGGAAGAGUUCGAAGGGUUCGCUGAGGAAGACGUUGAGGCCACCGCUAAGAAGAAAAAAGCAACCAUAGAGGAUGAUGGAGAUGACCAGGCAGCGGCUGUCAGGGCAAACAUGUCGGACUCUGAGGGGGAGAAUGACGAUGCGGCACGACUAGAUGGCCAGGAUGGACAAGACUUUGUGUCUGACUUUGAUCUCAUGAUGAUGAAGAAGAAAGACGAAAUGUCAAGACGCAAACGUAAACGUAAGGAAUACGACAUCGUCAACGACUCAGAUGACCUCAUAGCCGACAUGAUCAACAAAAUGAAGGUGGCAGCUGAGGAGGACCGAGGUUUGAACAUGGAGAAGAAGCCAGCCAUCCGUAAACUCCAGUACCUGCCUAUUGUCCUGUCACAGCUGAAAAAGGCCGAUCUGCACAGCGCUUUCCUGGACUGCGGUGUGCUCAAUGCAAUGACAGAAUGGAUUGCCCCUCUGCCAGACAAAAGCCUGCCCAAUCUGCAGAUUCGCUCUUCCUUCCUGAAAAUACUGCAAGAGUUCCCCAGCAUUAACCCGGGAGCUCUCAAGGCCAGUGGCAUUGGCAAGGCAGUCAUGUAUCUGUACAAACACCCCAAGGAGAUCAGGGAGAACAGAGAGAAAGCCGGAAAGCUUAUCAACGAGUGGUCUCGGCCCCUGUUCAAUCUCACGUCCAACUACAAGAUGUUGUCCAAGGAAGAACGCGAGCAGAGAGAUUACGAUCAGCUGCCAAAGAAACGCAGAACUAGUUUGGAUGAAGGAGGGCAGACACCAAGGAAGGAUCUUGACAAGUCAUUGAACGUGGAACAGAAAGCCCUGCGGCCGGGUGACCCAGGCUGGGUGUACAGAGCCCGAGUACCAAUGCCCUCAAACAAGGACUACGUGAUACGGCCCAAGUGGAAGACCGAAGAGGAGGGACAGGACGGGGAAGUGGCCAGAAAGACUAUCAAGAAAGAGCCCACUAGAUAUGAGAAGCAAGUGAGGAAAUUUGCAGAAAAGAAGAAAAAUAAGAAGAGCAUGCGUGCAGUGACUAUUAGCAUUGAAGGUCGCAACAUGACCUUGUGAUUGUGUACACGUGUCAGCAACAUUGUGGUUGUACAUAAUACUUUAAACGGCGUACCUGCAUAACAUGCCAAGCAUUUAAGAUGCAUGGGGCUACAUUUAGACACUGGCAUGUCCGUUUUAUGUGAAUAAAACAUUGGUGAUAUUGCUGCUAUGUAGAGAAUUCUCAGAAUUGACAUGACGCCUUAUCUAUGAUCGCUCCGCCCACUAGAAUUGAUCCACCAAUCAGCGAUCGAUUAAUCGGGCGCACUCGUUAGCAACGACCUGUCCGCCAUUUUCUAGACAAGCUACAUGUUAAGGUUCACUUUUAUUCCAACCAGUUUCUUUUGUUUUCCUCUUAAAAUAAACGAUUAAAAAUGGUUAAACGGUUUCAAUGGGGAUUAUGUAACUCGGACAAUCGAUAUCCUGAAAGAUAAGUUGGUGACAUUUAAUUUAUAUCGUUUCCAAAGCCGAAAAGAGAUCUUGAGAAGUGUAAGAGAUGUAUAAAUACAUGCGGUCGUCACCACGAACAACUGAACGUCAACACUGUCAAAGACAAUUAUAAUAUAUUUUUAUCGGAUAUACUAGCAGAUUUAAAUAGUUUAUGUUAUCGAUCUGAUUAUCACAUAAUAUUUCACUUUUUUAAAAAUAGUUUUAUCAGUUACUAGGUCAGAAGCGAGGUACAUCUGCAUUACUUAAAGAGAAAUAAAACCCAGCAUGAAGCCUAAUUCAUGCUGUGAUUUAUUACUCUGAUAGUAAUGCACUUAAUUGACAUCAUACAUGUUAUUUGAAGGUGACAUGUGAUAUAUUAUCUAAUUAACGGUAUCUACACAUAUGCACUCAUGUGGUGUCACCAAUAAACGCUUUUAAUCCACACUAGGAGCUCGAAUGCCUAGAUCUCAUUUUUUAAACGAGUUUCGUUUAUUUUGUUCGGAUUAAAAAACGGAAAUGAAAUAUGGCGAAAACGGUGUAAAAAGGGUUAAUGCAACUCUGAAAUUUGGUAUCCAGAAAGAUAAGUUAGAUAAAUUAAAUUUAUACCAUUUCCAACGCGGCAAUGCGGUCUUGACAAGAGCGAGUGGAAGCGUCAAGAAUUACCGAGAUCCCCUUUAUUGAACAUUAAUUUAUUUCACAAACUUGAAAUGUCAUAUAAGCAAUAACUAAGCAUUAUUAAGUAUGUAUUAUGUCACGUGUGCAUGUAAAAUAAUUGAGAAUUUUGGUACCCAAUUCGUGUAACUUUACGAAAUCCCCGUUAAAAAUCGCGUUUCUGUGUGUGUCAGAAACAAGUGAAAACCAUUUUGUUAUUAUUUUCAUAAAGACGUAUCGAUAAAUGCUAUUGUAAAAGAGUUAUUAUUACUGAUAUUAGUUAACCAAUAAAUGCGGCAACUUCGGGGAAGUCGGUACCUGCGCGAGCGUCUGAUAUUGGUAGCCUUAUUAAUUUAUAAUAGCCUGACCGUAUUCCAUUUCGUACAACGCUAAUUUUAUAUCAGACAAUGUCCAAACUUACUGUGUUGUUUUUGCGCUUUAAAUUGUAGUGAUUGAUAAAUGUCCCAUAAGCAAUGUUUAAUAUGAUUAAUAUCACUUUUAUACGCAAUAACAUGUGGGAUUGAGAUACCCACCCGGCGUCAGAAAGCGCGUAAAACUUCACCGAAUUCCCAGUUAUAAAGCGCUAUUUCGUGUCAAAUACACGGGUAGGGGGGAAUGUUUCGGUAAUAAUUUUGUUAAUAACACUGGUAAAUACCGGUGAAGUGUUAAUUUAUUGCAAAUGCCACCAUUACACAUAAUAACAGGUUCGAUUUCGGUAAGCGCGCAAGCGUUUGAGAGCGUGUUUAAUGUACCGAUUUACCCGUUAUAAAUAGCUGAUGUUCUCUUUAAUCGUAUAUUUUUUGCAUUUGCAGAAUAACUAAAUGCCAUCAACCCCUUUACAAGUGUAAUAUGGUGUUUAACAAGUCCAUAAAAUCAUCCGGAAUAUCGCGUUAAUCUAUAUGCAGUCUAUAGGCAAAAAAGCCAUUUUGGUGUUAGCUUGUCUAGGUUUUCUUCCUGCUGAGCCACGUGAUAAAGUGGGCGGAGCGAUCACUGAUAAGGCGUCAUGUCAAUUGCUUAUUGAACCUUUUAGGUUAUCUCUGAAGCUGUGAGUGUGUGAAAUAUGCUCUACUCAGCAAGCAAGUUGUCUGUCCUUUCAUGUUUGAAAGAGAGUACUCUAUCAUGUAAUGAAAGCUGAGGCUGCUGUCUGUUUAAUACGCCUUGAACAAAAGUUGUAGCAGUUUAAGAAUGUAAAUGAGUGCAUUGAUUAAAAAAAAUGAGCAUACAAGCGCCUUUGUAGCCAAGGGUAUUUUCACAAAUUGGGCAACUUUUUAUAAAGAACAACUUCUUGGGACUUUUCUCACAGAGAAUGAAUUUGUAAAUGUAGGUGAAUUUACUGAUAUUGGAUAAAUACAUUUCUAAAGUGCUUUAAUGCAAAAUGAUAGUGGUAGAUUGAGAUGCAUUUACCAGUGUUUUUAAUUUGAAUAUUUGCUAACAGUUGUAACAUAGAUCUAUAUAUUUCUGAAAGGUUACAUUUUGGCUUUGUUAGUUUUGUGUAGAUGUAUAUGAGCCGCUUUCUUGUAUUUGCCUUAAGUGUCAUCUAAGAUUAGCAUGUGCAGUUUGCACAGGCUAAACAGGGACUACACUUUCCGUUUUAAUGGAAUUUAAAAAGGAAGUCUACUAUAAAUGAUAAGAGUCUUAGCACAAAGUUUUGUACCAGAUUAGCCUGUGAGGACUGCACAUGCUAAUCUGUGACGACACUUUACACACAUGCAUUAAGCCCAGUUUUACAGAACACGGCUCAUAUUUGCUCUGUGACCAUUUGAGUUUGUUGGGUAUAAGCUCUAGUUAAAUAUUAAAACGCCAUUCAUUUCAUAGAGGAACACUUUAAAAUCAUAACUUUGGUAAUAAGCAAUAUAAACUGGAUGUUGGAUGAUCUACUGAUUUAAAUUGCAAGUCAUUGUUGCUGGUUUUAUGCGUUCUUUGUCGUUUUGCUUUUAUCUAAAUUCAUAUUAGGAAUGUGUUUUCAUGUUUGAAGCAUAAUAAAAAGGAGCUGGUACAUAAACAAAUAUCUCCAAAUAAUGAUUUGUUGAAUUGAUUUUGAAUCAGUUUUCUGGCUAAGAACAUAUGUUUAAGAACAUGUAUUUAGCAUUAUGUUUUGUAAGUGUACACUAUUUUUUUUUUUGGAUUAAACGUGUCUUUUUGUUUAGAAAAUUACCAUACAUUAUUAACUACAUGUAGCUCUAUAUCUGGUUUGCAUUUUCAAACUUUAAAAGUUUCUGCAAAAUGUUGUUACUGUACAAGUUUAGCCCCUUAAACCUCCAAACUUGGGCUCAAAUCCUAGCACCACAGGAUGCUCUGAGAAAAUGGAGUUUAAUGCAUGUGUGUAAAGUGUCGUCCAAGCUAAGGGAUGGCACUUUACUCUUAUAUUAAAUUUGUCAUUAAAAGGAAGUCAUUUCUAAAGGAAAAAACAGCAAAGGUUUAAAGUGUAGUCCCUGAGGAGCCUGUGUGGACUGCAAUGACAUCUUACGCACAUGCAUUAAGCCCCAUUUUCCCAGAGCGAGGCUCAAUUUUAUAAAUUUCAGUUGAUGUUAUCCAUAAACAACACUGCAAUAACAAGUUUUGCAAUAUGUUUAUGUGCUUAAAGUGUUGUUUUUUAUCCCCACAAAAAAGGUAUUGUUUUGUAUCUGUGACAUAACUAAUGGUUGACAUGCUUGUAUUUAAAUGCCAUUGUUUCUGACGGACAAAUCAUGCAUUAAAUGUAUGUAUGAGUGUACAUAUUUCUAUUCUAUAAGUGUUCUUAUUGCAAAAUUUGCAAAAUGGAAACUACAUAUAUUGAUUUUCAGAAAUGCUAUGAUGUUUGUCAGAGAGGAUGUUGUACCUUUCUCUUGGCAUAAGUAAAUUGGAACUGAAUAAAAUGCAAAAUUCA
Molecule: RNA transcript, 6728 nt
Organism: Dreissena polymorpha
Lineage: Eukaryota; Metazoa; Mollusca; Bivalvia; Myida; Dreissenidae
Gene name: IWS1-like protein
Exons: 20
Source: RefSeq, a predicted model, not a curated record